This 71-nucleotide transfer RNA is filed under the name Phrynosoma platyrhinos (Desert horned lizard). RNAcentral describes it as "tRNA-OTHER". The record is from RNAcentral. Lineage: Eukaryota; Metazoa; Chordata; Lepidosauria; Squamata; Phrynosomatidae.
GCCAGCAUGGCAUAGUGGUUUUAGUGUUGGACUACAACUUUGGAGACCAGGGUUCAAAUCCUGACUUGACC